RNAcentral lists this non-coding RNA (45 nucleotides) under Schistosoma mattheei. Lineage: Eukaryota; Metazoa; Platyhelminthes; Trematoda; Strigeidida; Schistosomatidae. The record is from RNAcentral.
AGCCAGCUGACGAAUCUCGAAUAGGACGAAACGCUCGUCCUGAAU